This is a transfer RNA of 88 nucleotides. It matches the Rfam family "tRNA". Rfam says of the family: Transfer RNA (tRNA) molecules are approximately 80 nucleotides in length. Their secondary structure includes four short double-helical elements and three loops (D, anti-codon, and T loops). The record is from Rfam.
GGAGAGUUGUCAGAGUGGCUUAUCGUGCCUGUUUGCUAAAUAGGUGUACGUCCUUAACGUACCACAGGUUCAAAUCCUGUACUCUCCG